GGGAAAUACAUAAUAACAUGGUGGGGAUAUGAGCACCUGUUAUAGCAGUCAUUUAGUGGUCACAGGAUAUUGAUACAUUUCUCUCACUGCUCUCCCUACAUGAAAUGCCAGGCAGAGGACAGAGCUCGCACUGGUUACCCCAGCCACGGCCACCGUCACAGCAGCACUGGGACUUGGUGCUUGGAAUUCGGCUACUGGAGGACAUCUGACACAUGAAAACGCAGAUACGUUGAGGACUUACCGACACACCUUUGUCCCGUUUUUAGUUACGGGGUCGGCAUUUCUGGCUUCUUCCCGUUAUGGGUCGCUGGUGGGAUUUGGCACAGUUUUACGCUGGAUGCGCUUCCUGACACAACCCUCCCUAUUUAUCCGGGCUUGGGGCCGGCACUACAAUGCACUGGUCUGUGCAUCCCAGCGGCUAGGCGGGCACAAACACAUAAAAGUGCCGACAAGGUUUUUACAGUUCAUUCCCCUGGUGUCACAGUCAUGUAAACCCUCCAAACACUCAUCCAGGUCUGCAGUGGAAAAUAUAACACCAAGAGGAGAAAAAGGUUGGAAAUGUGGGCGGCGCUUAACCAUAAAUAUAACACAGAUGAGUGGAGCUUGUUCACUGAUUCAUCAAAAGUGAGCAAAGACGAAAUACACCAAACUCACACAAUGACUGGAGGCAAAGACAGAAUCCAGGUCCCUAGGACCUUGGAGAUGUGCAGCCCCCAGGCUACCUGCUGACACUACCAAAUAUCCUCCAAACAUCUUUAUUUGAUUGACCAUAUACCCAUAAUGGCAGGGGACAUAAUGGCAUCCAAGAUCUGCAUCAUUUACUUCUUAUCAGGCUCCAACGGGUGAGAGCUUGAACCCAUCCGAGCACUCACAACGAUAGCUGCCAGGAGUGUUAAUACAGUCUGCGUUCCUCUGGCACAAGUUUUCUGAGUCACUACACUCAUCGUUGUCUAUACACAGACAGAACAGAAGAGAACAGAAAAGUGCUUAAACACUGUCAAAGGACAAGAGCGGCUGUGAAAUAACAACACACUUAAAGAAUAAGGUUUACACACACUGUAUUUCAACUGUCAAUUCCUUACUUUGGGCUUUUUCGCCGCUACAUUGGUAAGUGAUUUGCAUUUUGUUAACCUUUGGCAAAGCUCCGAUCUUUAUUAGCUCAAUGUGUGCACACAGCUCCCUUGUUAUGGUCUGUUACAUACAGCCUAGAGGUACUUAAAAGGGAACACUGGUCAAGAUUCAGCCCCCUUGUGAUUUGCAAAUGUGCUGGAGAGGACACUGGUUUGAGAUCAUAUGAUCAAAGCUAAAUUCAGACUGACGCUGCAUGUGAGACUGUCCUGCCGAGCCAGUCAGGGGAGUGGGCGAAACAUAAACACACUGAGAUAGUGUUUAGAGACGUGCUUAAAGUAGGAAAGUCCUGUGCUGUGACAAUGGUAGAAAUUUAUGAAGGCAUAGUUUAGUUACAGUAUCUUGUGAUUUAAUAAUGGAUGAUAAAUGAUAAUGGAUGAUAGAUAAUAAAUAAUACACUAUAUGGUCUAAAGUAUCUGGGACAUUAGUAUUUAAUUUAAAAUGGCCCCCUUAGAAGCUACAACAGCCUCUGUUCUUGAGAAGGCCUGACUCGCUUUUGAUGUUUCAUUUCAUCCCAAAGUUGUUCAUUUUGUCUUGGGACAAUCGCAGCACACAAUGUUGAAAGUAUAUCAUUUAUUUUUAUAUACUUGAUUUAAUACACCAAUAUAGCAAUAGGUGUGGUUGAAACACCUGAACUUAAUAAUUAGCAGAGGUGUCCAUAUGCUUUUGGCCCUGGUUGGUCAUAUUAAACAACCUUUUAUAGGCAACCAAAAACUGGUAUUUUCCUGUAUCCAAAUCACUGCCUAGGUCAAGAGGAAAACCCAAACUUUCAUCUUUUCCUAGGAGGGAAUUUGUAUGGAUGAUAAAAUAUAGUCCACAAAUCACAAAAUAUAAGGCUAGCAUUUUGAGAAGGCGCUUGAUCAUGGGGCACUGUCUACAGUCAAGUAAGCUUAAUGUAGCCAUUGCCUUAGAAUCCGCCAAGAAUAAUCACUGUUCCAAAUUCAGCACCUUAAAUCUUGACUUAAGUUUGUUGCUAAUCACAUGGUUUAGAAACAAUUCUGAUUCAGAUCGAAGAGUCUGAAUUAGUUGGUUAGAAGUUUCAAAUAGAAAAAAGACCAGGUGUUAUGUAAAAACAAAGUGGCAUUGACUUUAUUGCUAGCCAUUCUUACCUACUUUGCUUUAGACAGAGCCUGUCUCUAAUUAUAGUCAUACUGUAUUAAACAAUAAAAUUUAAUUUAAAUUUAAUUACAACAAACCUUCACAAACUAGUAGCAAAUCGUUGUAGCUGAAUCCCCUUGGACAUUCACAAUGAAAACUUCCAAUCUGGUUGAAACAUACACCACUGGCGCAGAUUCCUGGGAUCUCCCGACAUUCAUCAAUAUCUGAAAAUUAAACAAUCAUUUAAAGUUUAUACACUUUUAUUUGUAUGUAACACUUAUUUCAGAAAUGUAAACUAAAUUUACUAUAUAAGACAACACAGAAACAACACAGACUGAUAUAGUUUAAUAAUUGUAUCUGUUUCAUCCUGAAAUUCUUUUAAUUAUGGUAUUAAUUAAUUUUAAUUAAGUUUGCUGCUUGCUGCAAGACCUCACAUUGCUGGAAGGGUAUUAUUAAAGUGAUAUUAAGAUUCAAAGGGCCUAGCAGUAGUCAAGUGUGGAUAUGUUGAGUCUAAUUAAACCCAAUUAUUAAUUACAUUAAAUAAUUGGGUUUAAUUUAAUGUAAGAUGUAAUUGCUUGCAUUAUUCACAUUAUGUUGUCCAAUUAAAACAUCAUUACUGUCUGUUUGGUUGCACAUGGUAGUAGCUUAUUGAUUGAUUGAUUAACUGAUUGACUAAUUCAUUUUUAAAACUAUUUAGAAUGUGGGUGCUAAUGUUAGAAUAUCUUCAUUAAAUGAAAAGUCAUUAUGAUAGCUAAUCAUAAUUUUAA
Molecule: long non-coding RNA, 2993 nt
Organism: Trichomycterus rosablanca
Lineage: Eukaryota; Metazoa; Chordata; Actinopteri; Siluriformes; Trichomycteridae
Exons: 8
Source: RefSeq, a predicted model, not a curated record